UACGUAGGGGGCUAGCGUUAUCCGGAAUUACUGGGCGUAAAGGGUGCGUAGGUGGUUUCUUAAGUCAGAGGUGAAAGGCUACGGCUCAACCCCAGUAAGCCUUUGAAACUGGGAAACUUGAGUGCAGGAGAGGAGAGUGGAAUUCCUAGUGUAGCGGUGAAAUGCGUAGAUAUUAGGAGGAACACCAGUUGCGAAGGCGGCUCUCUGGACUGUAACUGACACUGAGGCACGAAAGCGUGGGGAGCAAACAGGAUUAGAUACCCCUGUAGUCCCUGAGCGGG
This 281-nucleotide ribosomal RNA is filed under the name uncultured prokaryote. RNAcentral describes it as "partial 16S ribosomal RNA". It matches the Rfam family "Bacterial small subunit ribosomal RNA", at positions 524 to 803 of the family's 1533-position model. The record is from RNAcentral.